RNAcentral lists this ribosomal RNA (301 nucleotides) under uncultured bacterium. Its description in RNAcentral is "partial 16S ribosomal RNA". It matches the Rfam family "Bacterial small subunit ribosomal RNA", at positions 509 to 807 of the family's 1533-position model. The record is from RNAcentral.
CAGUAGCCGCGGGAAUACAGAGGGUGCGAGCGUUAAUCGGAUUUACUGGGCGUAAAGCGUGCGUAGGCGGCUUCUUAAGUCGGAUGUGAAAUCCCUGAGCUUAACUUAGGAAUUGCAUUCGAUACUGGGAAGCUAGAGUAUGGGAGAGGAUGGUAGAAUUCCAGGUGUAGCGGUGAAAUGCGUAGAGAUCUGGAGGAAUACCGAUGGCGAAGGCAGCCAUCUGGCCUAAUACUGACGCUGAGGUACGAAAGCAUGGGGAGCAAACAGGAUUAGAGACCCGUGUAGUCCCUGUCUCUUAUAC